CUAAAUUAAUUUUUCUAUUGGUAGAUUGGGGAGAUUACAAAAUCCUGAGUGAAUUCUUUUAAGUUCUAAUUGAUUGCAAAUUUGGAAAAAUCAAGUUUGUUGUUGUGGAGGGGGAUUUCUCAAAUUCCAAGUUAUGUUGUUCUUUGUGUUAUUGAGGAUGCAAAGACAUUUUUUAUUUUGCUAGUUGCUGGGGAUGCAAAGGGAUUUCAACUAGAUUAACAAUGGCGAAGCCAGUUGAGGCCUAGAAGGGUUAACUGACCUUCCUCCAAUUUAUGCAACAAAUGCAUUUGUUAAGUGUUAUAUUUGAUUUUCUUUUAUAGAUGACCCUUCUAACUUUCGGACUCUAGUUAAUUGUUAUUCUUUACCUCUAUAAUUUUUC
This is a non-coding RNA of Prunus mume (Japanese apricot), 379 nucleotides long. NCBI's taxonomy places the organism in Eukaryota, Viridiplantae, Streptophyta, Magnoliopsida, Rosales, Rosaceae. The record is from RefSeq and is a predicted model, not a curated record.